CAUGUGAGAUAAAAGCAGGGUUUCCCAUACUUGCCAGAUCUUAAGAACUGCCUGGAACUUUUGUUGAAAUUAGAGGUUCCCAGACCCCUCCAAAGUUCUAUUGUUCCAGAGUCUCCAGUAUAUUUAAGAAGUGCCACAGUGUUUUUUGAGCAGGUAGAUUUGAGAAGCACUGGAUAAACAACAGGAAAGCUCAUGGACUGGGAACUGGGAGACUCAAGUUUGGCUUCACCUCUGCCAUUUUCUAACAGUUCAUUUUCCAGAUCGUUCAGGGACAGUCUGGAAGCACCCAACUUGUAGACAGAAAUUGAAGACAUGCUUUCAUAGAGGCAGCGCAGAGCAACCCAAGUGUUUCUUAUCUGUUAACAAGUAUCAUAAAGGAGAAGACUAUUUCUGGUGACUUCUGCCUAUGUCACAUUGGCUAGAACUGUGUAUAACCACCACUAGCUGCAAGGGGGUCUUGUGUAUCUGGGUAUUUGGCUGCCCU
This is a long non-coding RNA of Galeopterus variegatus (Sunda flying lemur), 484 nucleotides long. RefSeq lists it as uncharacterized. The transcript has 3 exons. NCBI's taxonomy places the organism in Eukaryota, Metazoa, Chordata, Mammalia, Dermoptera, Cynocephalidae. The record is from RefSeq and is a predicted model, not a curated record.